RNAcentral lists this ribosomal RNA (303 nucleotides) under uncultured bacterium. Its description in RNAcentral is "bacterial SSU rRNA". It matches the Rfam family "Bacterial small subunit ribosomal RNA", at positions 355 to 672 of the family's 1533-position model. The record is from RNAcentral.
UGGGGAAUAUUGCGCAAUGGGGGCAACCCUGACGCAGCAACGCCGCGUGCAGGAAGAAGGUCUUCGGAUUGUAAACUGUUGUCGCAGGGGAAGAAGACAGUGACGGUACCCUGUGAGAAAGUCACGGCUAACUACGUGCCAGCAGCCGCGGUAAUACGUAGGUGACAAGCGUUGUCCGGAUUUACUGGGUGUAAAGGGCGCGUAGGCGGGAUAGCAAGUCAGUCGUGAAAUGCCGAGGCUUAACCUCGGAGCUGCGAUUGAAACUGUUAUUCUUGAGUAUCGGAGAGGAAAGCGGAAUUCCUA